UAGAAUCAGCUGAUUGUAAAGGAAACCACUUCCUCUCCGGAGAAAAAGAAGUUUCUUGUCCAGGCCACAAAUUAAACCAAGGGAACAGGACGAUGACUGACCAAAGGAGGCUUGGGGCAGAACAGCAGCCUUUUAUCUCUGCAUCCACAUCCUUCCCAGUCACCACCGGUGUCAACACAGAUAUCCUGAAUGUUUUUUUUUUUAUUCUGUGCAGCCACAGGGCCUAAGGAUGGGGAGGCAGAGGAGCAGGGGCAGCACGCUGUGAGGAUUACACACUGGGACGAGCAGCGAUCCCUGCUCCACGCCGAUGACUGAAGCCUCGCAUCUGUCCCAGCUCGAAGGCUGCAAGCCCGCGUGCUUCGCCAGAAUCCCUCGGCGAGGAUUUUCCACUAUCAGGUUACACCCUGCUUUUUUGCAGCCUCACUCACGCAGCCCUCCCCCGGCCCCCCGCCAGCGCAGCCAUUUGUCUUCCUCCCGGGCCUUUGAUAGAGCGUGGUAUUCCCGAGCAACUCCAGCAAUCCUGCAGGACCCCACGACCCUCCCGACAGAGAGCCAACCCUGCCCGAGACACGGCUCCCAACCCAAGGAGCAGUUUCAAGGCACUGACGUCGCCUUGAAAGAGUGAGAGCCAGUGUCGCACCUCCGUUCCCCACCCUGUGGGAAGGGAGAUGCUGGGAAGUUUUCCAUUUGAGCAUCUUUCAGGGGGACGGUGGCUUUCUGAGCUAAUUUUGUAGCGCAAGCAGUGUGUUUUUUUUUUUUGUUUCAAAAUAAGUCAUCGGGAACAUCUGCUCUCCUCCACAUCCUCUGCCUAAAAAUAAAGCCCCACAUGUUGGAUUUUCACAGAAGUGCCUCCCGACAAACUCUCAGGCUCGCUUCUCCUGUUCUCGAGGAAGAGCAAUUUUUGCCCGGCUUCCCCAGCAUCCAUUACAAUGCCCUGCGCUUCCUGCGGCCGUUACCGCUUGCUCUCACAGGAAAUUAACUCAGCUUCAGCUACAGCUGCAAAUUUUCUAUCCAAAAGAGAUACCUUGAACCUGGCUUAACCACGCUUCACACUCCAAUUACCUUUCUCACAGGACAGCUGGGCGGAGGCCUCCUACAUCAUUUGUGUUUCAAUCCCCAGCAGAGCCUGUUACAUAUUGAAAAGCUCAAGAUUGUGGUAGGUGAUUUCCCAGUUAAUGCCUCUCAGGAUCUCAGUACCCAGAAGAAGAAAAACAUCUCCUUUUUAUGGCAUCAAAUAAUCCUACAGCUUCAGAAGCAAGCUCGGAGGAUCAAAGGAGCUGACAGAUUUGUAAACUCUUCGAGACAAGAGCAUUUUAAGAGUGCAUUGCAGACAUUUUAAGAACACUUGCUCUUUUGGGACAGGAAAAAGCACUUGAGAUUAAGACUGAAAAGCAGCAAGCCCUGCAAAAUAAAGCUUCUUACCAUGCACUGGCACCCACCCGGCUCUAAAGAAGGCAGGGAGAAAGGGGAGCAACUUUUCUCUCUGCAAGGCAGAUUACAAUCUUCUCUCAAGGAAGCUUCAGAGACGUGCAACUUCCUCCAUUGCCUCCCCUUCCGCCCCUGAAACCUCAAAGCUGCUAAAACCCCACUGAAAUGGGCCAACUAUUUGGGUACGGGCAUGAGAACGGGGCAACGCGCUCACAGCCACGUUCAGCAACCCAAAUCCUCCAGCUGCGAAAUGCUUUGCAUUUAAAAGCAGAAGCCUCCAGCUUGCAACCUCAGGGCAUUUAAUAGCACUUUAAUUAACGUCUGAUCCCCGUUUCGAAAGGGAAACAGCGAGGUCAGGCUUUGGGAGGUUUAAGCUCCGCGGAAGGCGAGCAGAGGCAGGCCCCAGCACCUGCAGUGAGCAGCUCCGUGCCCGGGGCCCACGUGCGUCCUAGCGUGGGAUCAGAGCUGCGAGCGUUUGGCAGCCAGGCCAGGCACUGCCAAGCUGCAGAGCAGCUCCGGCCCCCCCAAGAAGCCAGAGGGAGUCGGGGUGCUGGGCGAGGCGCCCACCUCCCCGGCUGAGGCUGGGAUUUGCAAGCACGAGGUGUCUGACUCGCUCAAGGUCACGCAGCGCCUUAAUAGCAGAGCCAGGAACAGCCCAGGAUUCCCAACUCUCCGCCCUGCAUCUUCAAUUGCUAGCUCCUUCUUCCCUCGAGGAACAUCGGGGAUUUAAUAUUCUCUCCACCGCUUGGCGCAGAAACCAAACGGAGCACUUUGCUUUUACCACAGACGCAGCUUUGGCCAUGGUGAAGCAGAUGGCAUUUCCUCCCAAGCCCUCUCCUGCCCUCCACCACCAGGUACAGAAGCCAGCCCGUGCCUCUCUUUCCAAUAUUUUAAUGAGUCGCUACAUCUUACACUCAUAAUUAUAAAAGAAUAAGAAUCCAUAAAAAUAUUUUCUUUUCAUAAUACGCACUUAAAAUACUCCAGGGCAAGUCAA
Non-coding RNA from Anas platyrhynchos (mallard), 2422 nucleotides. The record is from RefSeq and is a predicted model, not a curated record. NCBI's taxonomy places the organism in Eukaryota, Metazoa, Chordata, Aves, Anseriformes, Anatidae.